RNAcentral lists this ribosomal RNA (465 nucleotides) under uncultured bacterium. Its description in RNAcentral is "partial 16S ribosomal RNA". It matches the Rfam family "Bacterial small subunit ribosomal RNA", at positions 338 to 795 of the family's 1533-position model. The record is from RNAcentral.
CCUACGGGAGACAGCAGUGGGGAAUUUUGCGCAAUGCUCGUAAGAGUGACGCAGCGACGCCGCGUGAAUGACGAAGGCCUUCGGGUCGUAAAGUUCUUUCGACAGGGAAGAAAAUGCCUAUAAGUAACUGUGUAUGUAUUGACGGUACCUGUAUAAGCAGCCCCGGCUAACUCCGUGCCAGCAGCCGCGGUAAUACGGAGGGGGCGAGCGUUGUUCGGAGUGACUGGGCGUAAAGAGCACGUAGGCGGUGUUGUAAGUCAUUAGUCAAAGACUAGAGCUCAACUUUAGUAAGGCUAGUGAUACUAUAAUACGAGAGUAUCAGAGAGGAUUGCAGAAUUCCUGGUGUAGCGGUGAAAUGCGUAGAUAUCAGGAGGAAUACCGUUAGCGAAGGCGGCAAUCUGGCUGGAAACUGACGCUGAGGUGCGAAAGCGUGGGUAGCAAACAGGAUUAGAUACCCCAGUAGUC